This is a long non-coding RNA of Oreochromis aureus, 625 nucleotides long. RefSeq lists it as uncharacterized. The record is from RefSeq and is a predicted model, not a curated record. NCBI's taxonomy places the organism in Eukaryota, Metazoa, Chordata, Actinopteri, Cichliformes, Cichlidae. The transcript has 4 exons.
AUCAGCGUUGGUUAAAUGAUUGAUUCCUCCAUGCUCCAUUUGCUGGGAUGUGUUCUGAUUGGCUAAAGUUAUGGAUCAGUCGAUCAGAUUUUAAUCAGAUUUUUUUUCAUGCUUUCAGCCGGUGUUCUCCUCAUCAGGUGAUUUGAGUAUCCCGUUCAGAGGUCAGCUGGUUAAUGGGCUGAGCGUUGGACGCAGCAUCAUCAUCAAAGGAGAAACCAAUCAGAACGCAGAGAGUUUCUGCGUGAACCUGCGGCCAGCGACUGGGUCCGACAUCGCUCUCCACCUGAACCCUCGCUUGAAGAAGCGCGUCUUUGUCAGGAACUCCUUUCUGUCCGACUGCUGGGGUCAUGAGGAGACAGUGCUCGCCUCCUUCCCCUUUACUGCGGGGCAAUACUUUGAGAUGAUCAUCCGCUGCGACUCGCAGCACUUCAGAGUUGCCAUGAAUGGGCAGCACCAGCUCGAUUACAAACACCGCAUGAAGGAGCUGAGCGCCAUCAACCAGGUGGAGGUGAAAGGAGAUGUGACGCUGCUCGCCGUGAGAGUCCUCUGAGCACCUCCUCGCCAUCAUGAACACCAAGCCAUAGAAAAAAAUAAAAUCACUGACGCCUCCUCCGUAACCAUUUAA